CUCUACAGCUAUAGUGCCAUGAGCUGUGAUCUUGUCAGAUCUCAUAAGCUAAACAAGGCUGGACCUGGUCACUACAUAAAGAUUGCCAAGUGAAAAAAUAAGUCUGCAGAAC
Molecule: ribosomal RNA, 112 nt
Filed under: Chelonoidis abingdonii (Abingdon island giant tortoise)
Lineage: Eukaryota; Metazoa; Chordata; Testudines; Testudinidae
Source: RNAcentral